GAACGGCAGCACAGGUAGCUAUACCGGGUGGCGAGUGGCGGACGGGUGAGGAAUACAUCGGGACCUGCCCAGACGUGGGGGAUAACGUAGGGAAACUUACGCUAAUACCGCAUACGUCCUACGGGAGAAAGCGGGGGAUCGCAAGACCUCGCGCGGUUGGAUGGACCGAUGUUCGAUUAGCUAGUUGGUAGGGUAAUGGCCUACCAAGGCGACGAUCGAUAGCUGGUCUGAGAGGAUGAUCAGCCACACUGGGACUGAGACACGGCCCAGACUCCUACGGGAGGCAGCAGUGGGGAAUAUUGGACAAUGGGCGCAAGCCUGAUCCAGCAAUGCCGCGUGUGUGAAGAAGGCCUUCGGGUUGUAAAGCACUUUUAUCAGGAGCGAAAUACUACCGGCUAAUACCCGGUGGGGCUGACGGUACCUGAGGAAUAAGCACCGGCUAACUUCGUGCCAGCAGCCGCGGUAAU
This 467-nucleotide ribosomal RNA is filed under the name uncultured bacterium. Its description in RNAcentral is "bacterial SSU rRNA". It matches the Rfam family "Bacterial small subunit ribosomal RNA", at positions 64 to 524 of the family's 1533-position model. The record is from RNAcentral.